Long non-coding RNA from Tribolium castaneum (red flour beetle), 531 nucleotides. RefSeq lists it as uncharacterized. NCBI's taxonomy places the organism in Eukaryota, Metazoa, Arthropoda, Insecta, Coleoptera, Tenebrionidae. The record is from RefSeq and is a predicted model, not a curated record. The transcript has 2 exons.
GUUUACUGUAAAAUACUGUCAAUGUUUAAUUAAGCGAGAUGCAAGUGAGUUACACGCAGGAUUCAAGCGCUGCUCUUCGACGGUACCGACGUUCAUGGCGCAAUGAUUUCGUCUGGAAUUCCUCAAGUAGUCAGAGAGAUGGUGGCGGAAAGAGGGGAAGUGUGGGAAUUUUGACGCACUUACCAAGUUGUUGGUCCAACUGCGAGGACUAUCACGUUCGUUGGGGCACGAAGUAGUGUUAUUCCUGCAUUUGAUUUUAGGCACCGUUCCAGUACUCGAACGGUUCAUCUUCCUGCGGUCUUCAGACAUAUUAUGCGAACCGGCUUAUUCAAGACACACUUUUACUAACAUAUUAGAAGCAAUUACAACUCAAACAAUAGGAAAAUAUUGCAGCUAUUUUUAUUUAAAAUCCGACAAUCAUUUUAUGUCUACUUUUUGACAAUGGACAGAAGUGACGUUUAACAGAUGUUGCAUGUGGGUUGCAUAACUUGAACCAUUUUUGAAUUUAAAUAUUAAAACGAGUAAAUUUUU